GAGAGGAUGUGAGUGCAGCUGGGGAGAAACGGGGGCCACCUGCCCCUCCAACUAGGGCCAUAAGGGAGCAGGGAAUUACAGAGAGCAAGUCAGAGCCUAACUCAGCAGGGCACUUGUGCUGCCAUUGUACGGGCUGGCUUGCCAACAGCCACUUUAUGUAGGAAAAGUAUGGGAAUUCCAGGGGUGUCUUGGGCCCUAAAAGUAUCCAGCCAACCUCAGGGACAAAGAGGAACCAAAGGCCGAGCACCGGAUCUGGGCCAGGUGAAGGCAGCAAAACCUGCCCCAUGGUCUUCAUCGAGCUCUGAGGCCAGCCUGUCCUGAGUGCCCAAAGUGAAGACGUGAGUGCUGCAGCCACUCAGAUCCAGAGCAACAGAAUUAGUGAACUUCAGGGCCGAGAGUUCAGGGAGAGCGUGUGGGAAAGCCCUCCGAAGAUGUCGGGCUCAGCAUCUGAGCGUUCUGAGGCCAGCCUGCCAGAGAAGCCCACCUGCAACGCCUCUGGUGCGGUGCUGCUGGCACACAAGGGGUCCAGGUCUAGGGAGCGCCAGCCACCAAGGAGCAAGCACCAAGGGCUCCUACCGUGUCACGGCAGGCAGCAGCUUGCUGCUUGCUGCUGCCAGCGUCAUAAUGGGCAAGCCAGCGCUGGCCGUGUGGCAAUGGUGUCACAAUGGGUUGGUUUGUGAUGCGGCCGCCCAGGAGCAGUAUAAAAGGGGCUGCGUGCUGCUGGGUCCUGCAUCCUGAAGAGCAUCCAGCAGAGGACUGGAAGCGUCAGGAAGGGAUGAGCUCCCACAUGGCUGUCGCCAACAAGGAGCAACCCGCUGUCGUGAGACGGACCAAGAUAAGGUUCUGGGAGGAUGGCCUCUCAACGCACUAUGCUUUGAGAAUGCCAAAUGUCACCACCAAAGGUAUAAAUGUCCACAGCCACCACAGGAGCACUGCUGGCAACGAGCGGGUGACAGCCAGCGCUGUGACACUCUCGGGGCUGUCUCCGUGUGGGGCUGGGCUCAGAGAUGGCGUUUUCCAUCUGCCACCUCGCUACCAGCAGUAGCAGCACCAACAAGUGGCAGAUGCAGAGCGUGACCUGCUUUUCCUUUGCCCUCCAGAGCGAGUAGCUGUCUGGGAUGCGGUGGCCAUCUACGUGCAACAGCAUCUCCUGCUGCGCAAGGGGGUCCGAAUUCCAUCCCUCGGCUCCUUCGACAUCGUCUGCAAAUGGUUCAAGGCUAAGGGUGAGACUGUGAUUGUGCAGUGGCCUGAGUUUCGCCUGGCCAGGAACCUUGUGGAAAAACACAACCUUGUGUACGAUAAAGAAUACCUGCCAGGCCAUAGGGAGGUGGAGCCCCUCAAAUGCGCUGAGGUGGCCGCAGCCGCAUCGGUGUCCUGGCAGACAGGGGAGGCCUGCAUAUACGGCACCACGUCCCUCGUCUCCCACUGCCUGACGAAGGGGGAGAACAUUGCCUUUGUCCUGAAGGACAUAGGAGUUCUCCUCAUUGAUGGAACACGAGUUCAAAUGAAAUACUACCGCGACUUCCUGGAGAGGAUCUGUGGGAAGGAGGACCUAAAAAUAGCUCUUUCCAAGGUCCCCUGCUUGAGGGACAUGGUGGUUUCCCGGGUGGCGGUGUUGGCCUCCCUGACGUUCUCCGGACGGGUCAUCGUCUUUCCCAAGUGAGUAUGUUGGUGGCUGUAGC
Gallus gallus (chicken) is the source of this 1682-nucleotide long non-coding RNA. RefSeq lists it as uncharacterized. Lineage: Eukaryota; Metazoa; Chordata; Aves; Galliformes; Phasianidae. The transcript is spliced from 4 exons. The record is from RefSeq and is a predicted model, not a curated record.